RNAcentral lists this transfer RNA (28 nucleotides) under Gerrhonotus infernalis. RNAcentral's name for it is "partial tRNA-Met". The record is from RNAcentral. Lineage: Eukaryota; Metazoa; Chordata; Lepidosauria; Squamata; Anguidae.
CAUGUUGGUUUAAACCCCUCCUUUAUCA